Molecule: long non-coding RNA, 1548 nt
Organism: Rosa rugosa (rugosa rose)
Lineage: Eukaryota; Viridiplantae; Streptophyta; Magnoliopsida; Rosales; Rosaceae
Exons: 3
Source: RefSeq, a predicted model, not a curated record
CCACGUUUCCAUCAUGCAAAGGGCAACUCCUCAAGAACAUCAUCUCAGACCUUCAAAAGAGAGAACCCAGGCCAUAAAUCGUCAUUCACCCUUCUCUUCUCACCUUUCCUCUCGUCCCUGGACACAUCAGUCCGUUUACGAGCCCAAAAACACCUAGUUAGAGACCUCCGAUGAAACAACUUUCUUCAUCAAAGUUGUUCGCCUAUGUCUCGUCUAUAUAGCCUCCAAAUAUCAGCUCCAUCGGAAUUGAUUUGAGACCUGUACACCCCUCGAAGCGGAAGCUGUUCCGGAGCAAGCCUGUUCCGGAUUUCUGCUUAAACUUCCUCUCUUGCUCUACCCGAAUCCCCAACACCUUGCUUGAGACUGAUACCAACAGUUGGUAAGAUUCUUAAACCAUCAAGUUCCCCUUUGUUUCCUCGAUUUUAGACUCAAUACGUUCAAAACACCUCAUUUACAUAUUGAGCAGUCUCUGUUUCACUUUGCAUGUUCGAGAUUGAGCAAACUUCUUGGCCUGUGGCUGGACUCGAUCCAAUCAGCUCUUUCAGCUCUCUUUCCUGUUGAAAUCCUCAAGAGAAGCUCAUCUUUUUUUGUUAGUUUUUGGCUUGACAUCGUGGUGGAAUCUUGUGAAGUGGUGGUUGCUACAAGGUUGCAUUGAGGCCAAGUGCUGCAAGAGAAAGCUCGAGUUCCAGGAGAGGUCAGUUCCUCCUUGAGCCACCGGUGGUGGGCAGUGUGCACCAUGCCCUUGUUAUCUCCCCUUUGUCUCUAGCCUUGUGAUUAAUGAAUUCCGGAAAGUGAUUGGCUAGAUGGACGGUUGUGAUGGAAGUGUGAAAGAUGAUCAAUUGCCGUGGGAUUGUAGUUACGUGGUGACGAUCACGUGGAAGCGCAAACCGGUUUUAUCUACUUCUUUUAUUCAAAACAAUAACUCAUGUUUUUAAACUUAGAUAUGGGGGCGGGCAUGGGCAAUGACUGGAUGUAGGAGCCUAACCCCUACUUUAGUUUGUUUUGCAGGCUGUUGUUGUUGAAGCUUGGGCACGGAGGAUAAUCCUUGGAGGACACAAUUUGUUUUACUCUAUUUAUAUAAAGUUUAUUUCCUUUCGGCUUGCUUGAUUUCACUAAAGUUUUGUAACAUUAUGUAUGGUUGAUGAUGUGUGUGCUUGCUUACCACCAAAGUGGAACCCUAGGGUUAGAACCUCCAUUUGAAUUUAGGUCCUAGUGGGCUAGACCUAGAAGACUCACAUAAAUUACCAUUUAAUGAACUUAAUGCAAACUUGGGGCUAAGAAUUAAAAAUUGACAUAGGUUCUAAAACUCAACUCAACACCACCUUCCUUUCCUCUUAUUCGCCUAGUUCGUAAUCUUGUGAUUACGAGCCAAGCCCACUAUACAAGCCCAAGAAUUUCGGGCUUAUAGAUUUCUUGUUUUCCAACCUAAAGGCCUUGUCUCUUUGAGGAAUUCUAGGCCCAAAACACUUACUCCAAGUGUUGCGGGUGUAGGGUUCCUUGGGGAGGCGGCGCUGUGGUAAUCCGGUCUCCGGGUCGCCACAUUUUCUC